This is a long non-coding RNA of Apis cerana (Asiatic honeybee), 710 nucleotides long. RefSeq lists it as uncharacterized. Lineage: Eukaryota; Metazoa; Arthropoda; Insecta; Hymenoptera; Apidae. The record is from RefSeq and is a predicted model, not a curated record.
GAAAAAAUAAAUCGAUACGUUGCUUAGUUCCCUUGAAGCUCAGGCACACUGAACUCGAAACAAUUUAAAUCAUCGAUCCUUCUUAUAUGUACCAAAUCGAUAUUUUUCUUCUUUAUGAAAAUGCAACAAUGAGAAGAAUCACCGACAAGGACGAUCUUCAGUUUUCUUACCACUAGCUCCUCCUCGAUGUCAGACAUUGGGAAGAUCGGGAUAAAAGGAGCGCGAGAGGAAGAAAUACGACGAGAUACAAAAAGCUUCGGAUUAUCAUGCGAAAAGUCGUGUCGGCCACGACGGUUCUACGUCGACUAUAAUACAACAUAUAAACGAAGGGUCUGGCAUGUGGCUAGAGAAUGAAAUCGAGCGAAUCGACCGACCGGCCGUGGCCAGUGCAACGUCGUCGUCUAUAUAGCUGCUUGAAUAAAUUAACGAAUAAUCGAUACCACACGAACAGGUAUCAUGCGUACCUCUGCUCGCCUAUUACUCUCGGCAAACUUUUUUCUAUGACAAUGUGUCGAUUAAUUAUGAAUCUUGUGAUACAAUGGAUUCUUGUCUUUUUAAGUGUCAAGGUUUUUCGUAAUGGUUUUCAUUGAUCACAUAAUUAUCCUUUUUUAUCGAUUCAUUAUUUUUAGCUUUUUUUCCCUUUCUUAGUACACUAAUGUCAUCAAAUGAUUUGAAUUUUAAGAUUCAAAAUAAACUUAUUUACUCAUGUA